Podarcis lilfordi (Lilford's wall lizard) is the source of this 76-nucleotide non-coding RNA. The record is from the annotation of a GenBank genome assembly. NCBI's taxonomy places the organism in Eukaryota, Metazoa, Chordata, Lepidosauria, Squamata, Lacertidae.
ACCUUCUGGGAUAGCUCAGUUGGCAGAGAAUGAGACUCUUAAUCUUAGGGUUGUGGGUUCGAGUCCACAUUGGGUG